This 322-nucleotide ribosomal RNA is filed under the name uncultured bacterium. Its description in RNAcentral is "bacterial SSU rRNA". It matches the Rfam family "Bacterial small subunit ribosomal RNA", at positions 772 to 1088 of the family's 1533-position model. The record is from RNAcentral.
ACCCAAUAGAUACCCGGGUGGUCCACGCCCUAAACGAUGUAUACUCGACAUAUGCGAUACACUGUAUGUGUCUAAAGCGAAAGCGUUAAGUAUACCACCUGGGAAGUACGACCGCAAGGUUGAAACUCAAAGGAAUUGGCGGGGGUUCCGCACAAGCGGUGGAGCAUGUGGUUUAAAAUUCGAUGAUACGCGAGGAACCUUACCUGGGCUAGAAUGCUGGGGGUAUGAAUCCUGAAACGGGGUUUUUUAGUAGCAAUACACCGCCAGUAAGGUGCUGCAUGGUUGUCGUCAGCUCGUGCCGUGAGGUGUUGGGUUAAGUCCC